RNAcentral lists this ribosomal RNA (253 nucleotides) under uncultured bacterium. RNAcentral describes it as "partial 16S ribosomal RNA". It matches the Rfam family "Bacterial small subunit ribosomal RNA", at positions 524 to 776 of the family's 1533-position model. The record is from RNAcentral.
UACGAGAGGCCCAAACGUUAUUCGGAUUUACUGGGCUUAAAGAGUUCGUAGGCGGCGCGGAAAGUAGGGUGUGAAAGCCCUCGGCUCAACCGAGGAAUUGCGCUCUAAACUGUCGCGCUCGAGGAACCUAGAGGUGAGCAGAACUGAUGGUGGAGCGGUGAAAUGCGUUGAUAUCAUCAGGAAUACCGGUGGCGAAGGCGGCAUCCUGGACCGACAUUGACGCUGAGGAGCGAAAGCUAGGGGAGCAAACGGG